CUGCUCUGCUGCGGCUAGGAAAUAAGACGCUACACGCUAGCAUCCGCUUCUCUCUCCCAAAUGGUCACACCAUUUUCCACGGGGCUUUUACUUUGCCAAGAAUAUUCCACCCAGGUCGUCUUUUCCCUGGAAAUAGUUACCCCCGCAUCCAAACAAGGCCCCCGGUCUUUACACAGGCCCAUUUGGUGUCGAGAGGGAGAGGCAUUUCCAUCCCCAACCCACCCCAAUUCCCUGGCUAGGAAACCCUCGCCUCAUCACUCCGGAAACGUUAUCCCCGUCCUUCUGAUGAUGCGCCACUGCCCGCGACGGGAAGUUCUGGUGUCCUCCGCCUCACGACCUGCUCUGCUGUGGCUAGGAAAUAAGACGCUACACGCUAGCAUCCGCUUCUCUCUCCCAAAUGGUCACACCAUUUUCCACGGGGCUUUUACUUUGCCAAGAAUAUUCCACCCAGGUCGUCUUUUCCCUGGAAAUAGUUACCCCCGCAUCCAAACAAGGCCUCAAGGGCUCUAGGUAACCUCAACAGGUGGAGAUCUGUGUCCCAACAGGAUGGUGUGGAUGAUAAUAUUAACAAUGAUUUCUGAAAAAGAAUUAAGAACAAGUCCCAGUUACAUUCUGGGUUCGCUUAGAUGCAUAGUUAGGUUAGCUAUAUGUCUUCUGGCUGCAUGUCUUGCUGAAUAGCACUGGUGAGCUCCAUGAUUCGUAUUUUAGUUGCAUGUGCCGUUUUUGGAUACUUAACAUACCCAGUUGACUAGUAGAGAUUUAUCAUAACUAGUUCGUCUCUUAGGCUCAGCUCUCAGAGAUAAUAAACAAAAUCUCCAGUUAAAACCGCAUUGUCGUCUUUCUUGACCGGCUAUAUCCUAGAUCCGUUCAUCCCCAAACCGCAUUGUCGUCUUUUCUUUCUUGACGGCUAUAUCCUAGAUCCAUUCAUCCCCAACCAGUACCCUCCAUCACCAAGCAGCCUGCUACUUCAAGACAUUGCUGUCUGGUCUCUGUACAUUGGAUAUUACGUAAUGUGACCUUACAUGCACGACAAUUAACUUUUUUAGAACUGUCAGCACUGAAUAUUCAGCAUUGGCGAGUAACAGCAACUGUAAUUGCUUCUUUUUUACAAUAUAUCAAUAGAUAGCAGCACCCGCUGCACCUUAAAGAUCAUUGAACUCAUGAAAACACGGGGAU
This 1176-nucleotide long non-coding RNA is filed under the name Triticum aestivum (bread wheat). RNAcentral describes it as "long non-coding RNA (TAES_LNC000536)". Lineage: Eukaryota; Viridiplantae; Streptophyta; Magnoliopsida; Poales; Poaceae. The record is from RNAcentral.